AUGUCAUUUGAGCUACCACACUUUGUGUCAACAUACCAAGCUGAAAGAAAAGGCAUGACAAGUGCAGACUUUCUCUUCUGCAACCUUAUUUGAAUGAACCUGUCAAAUGAAAGCAUUCUCCUGUCUAGAUAUGACAUGUAAUCCUAAUGCCAGUGUUAUUAGAAACUAACACCAGAUAAGGAUCACUUAGCCCACCUAGUGUGCCCAUUUCUGUUGACAAAUGUAAUGUUUAGUCGCUGUAUUAACAUUUUCUAAUUUGAGACAUCUGUCCAGCUUUGGUCUAAGUGGCGGGUUUGUG
Molecule: non-coding RNA, 298 nt
Organism: Pelobates cultripes (western spadefoot toad)
Lineage: Eukaryota; Metazoa; Chordata; Amphibia; Anura; Pelobatidae
Source: the annotation of a GenBank genome assembly